Long non-coding RNA from Sander lucioperca (pikeperch), 508 nucleotides. RefSeq lists it as uncharacterized. The record is from RefSeq and is a predicted model, not a curated record. NCBI's taxonomy places the organism in Eukaryota, Metazoa, Chordata, Actinopteri, Perciformes, Percidae. The transcript has 3 exons.
CUCACACCAGCUGACAAAGUCCCUGAUAACCAUCUUGUAUUCCAGAUCGUUUCCCUCAGAAACAUAUCCAACAACAGUUGUGUCAUCGGAGAACUUUUGGAUGUGGCAGUGGGUGGUGUUGUGAGUGAAGUCUGAGGUGUAGAGGGUGAAAAGGAAUGGGGAGAGCACCGUACCCUGAGGGCCACCUGUGCUGCAGAGCACCAUGUCAGACUCACAUUGAUGGAGCCUCACAUACUGUGGUCUGUUGGUGAGAUAGUCUGUUGUCCAUUCAGCCAGGUGUUAGUCCACUCCAACACUCUCCAUGUUCACUCUGAGCAGCGAUGGCUGGAUGGUGUUGAAUGCACUGGACAAAUAAAAAAAUGUGAUUCUCUCAGUGCCGCCGCCGCCAUCCAGGUGCAAAUGAGCUCGCUGCAGCAGAUAGAUGACAGCAUCGUCCACUCCCAGAAGCAAAUAUUCUGUUGCCGUUCACUAAGUGCAUGGGAGUUUGUCAUGUCUUUUUGUUAAAUUU